Molecule: long non-coding RNA, 526 nt
Filed under: Rattus norvegicus (Norway rat)
Lineage: Eukaryota; Metazoa; Chordata; Mammalia; Rodentia; Muridae
Description: long non-coding RNA NONRATT019270
Source: RNAcentral
AGUAUUUACAAUUUGCCCAACACAGCUCUGAAGUCUCUGCAUAUAUUAGCACAUAUUGCUAUUAGGUUAGUUUGUACACUGACUGUUAUGUUUAUUUUCAAGAUGAAGACCCUGGAUCUGGAAAUUUUAAAUGAUUUCUCUUUUUUUAUAGGUAUUAAAUUGAAGUAUUGCUACUUAAUCAGUCUUUCCAGGGCCAGGUAUGCCAUUCUUGAUUACCACGUGCUAGCUCCUGUGGGAUCAUAUAGAUCUAGAUGCAGUUGGAUAAGUGAAAUUGAGGAUGACAGAGAUACUGGAAGUUCCUGAAAACAGGCAGCCAGAGAUAUUUCCUAUUAAUCUGACUAUAAAAUCAUUAAGAUGUUCUUGGAAAUCAUUUGAUACUUAAGACUUGGUUAUAUACUCAAAAUGUUAAGAUAAAAUUAUAUGUAAAUGACAUAUAGAGUAUAAUGUAUAAAGUAAAUACAUUUUAUAAUAUAUAAUUAUAUGUUGUAAGAGUAAGCUAUAUAAAGUGUAAAAAAAAAAGAAAAAA